RNAcentral lists this ribosomal RNA (406 nucleotides) under uncultured bacterium. RNAcentral's name for it is "bacterial SSU rRNA". It matches the Rfam family "Bacterial small subunit ribosomal RNA", at positions 355 to 776 of the family's 1533-position model. The record is from RNAcentral.
UGGGGAAUAUUGGGCAAUGGGCGCAAGCCUGACCCAGCAACGCCGCGUGAAGGAAGAAGGCUUUCGGGUUGUAAACUUCUUUUAAGAGGGAAGAGUAGAAGACGGUACCUCUUGAAUAANCCACGGCUAACUACGUGCCAGCAGCCGCGGUAAUACGUAGGUGGCAAGCGUUGUCCGGAUUUACUGGGUGUAAAGGGCGUGUAGCCGGGUUGACAAGUCAGAUGUGAAAUCCUGCGGCUUAACCGCAGAACUGCAUUUGAAACUGUUGAUCUUGAGUACUGGAGAGGCAGACGGAAUUCCUAGUGUAGCGGUGAAAUGCGUAGAUAUUAGGAGGAACACCAGUGGCGAAGGCGGUCUGCUGGACAGCAACUGACGGUGAGGCGCGAAAGCGUGGGGAGCAAACAGG